Molecule: ribosomal RNA, 289 nt
Filed under: uncultured Morganella sp.
Lineage: Bacteria; Pseudomonadati; Pseudomonadota; Gammaproteobacteria; Enterobacterales; Morganellaceae
Description: partial 16S ribosomal RNA
Source: RNAcentral
CUACCCGGGUUUCUAAUCCUGUUUGCUCCCCACGCUUUCGCACCUGAGCGUCAGUCUUUGUCCAGGGGGCCGCCUUCGCCACCGGUAUUCCUCCACAUCUCUACGCAUUUCACCGCUACACAUGGAAUUCUACCCCCCUCUACAAGACUCUAGCUGACCAGUAUCAGAUGCAAUUCCCGGGUUAAGCCCGGGGAUUUCACAUCUGACUCAAUCAACCGCCUGCGUGCGCUUUACGCCCAGUAAUUCCGAUUAACGCUUGCACCCUCCGUAUUACCGCGGCGGCUGGCAC